RNAcentral lists this ribosomal RNA (253 nucleotides) under uncultured bacterium. RNAcentral's name for it is "partial 16S ribosomal RNA". It matches the Rfam family "Bacterial small subunit ribosomal RNA", at positions 524 to 776 of the family's 1533-position model. The record is from RNAcentral.
UACGUAGGGGGCAAGCGUUGUCCGGAUUUAUUGGGCGUAAAGAGCGUGUAGGCGGCCAGACAGGUCCGUUGUGAAAACUCGAGGCUCAACCUCGAGACGCCGAUGGAAACCGUCUGGCUAGAGUCCGGAAGAGGAGAGUGGAAUUCCUGGUGUAGCGGUGAAAUGCGCAGAUAUCAGGAAGAACACCAACGGCGAAGGCAGCUCGCUGGGACGGAACUGACGCUAAGGCGCGAAAGCGUGGGGAGCGAACAGG